CAGUAGCCACGGGAACACAGAGGGUGCGAGCGUUAAUCGGAUUUACUGGGCGUAAAGCGUGCGUAGGCGGCUUCUUAAGUCGGAUGUGAAAUCCCUGAGCUUAACUUAGGAAUUGCAUUCGAUACUGGGAAGCUAGAGUAUGGGAGAGGAUGGUAGAAUUCCAGGUGUAGCGGUGAAAUGCGUAGAGAUCUGGAGGAAUACCGAUGGCGAAGGCAGCCAUCUGGCCUAAUACUGACGCUGAGGUACGAAAGCAUGGGGAGCAAACAGGAUUAGAUACCCCAGUAGUCCCUGUCUCUUAUAC
This 301-nucleotide ribosomal RNA is filed under the name uncultured bacterium. RNAcentral describes it as "partial 16S ribosomal RNA". It matches the Rfam family "Bacterial small subunit ribosomal RNA", at positions 509 to 807 of the family's 1533-position model. The record is from RNAcentral.